Molecule: long non-coding RNA, 2705 nt
Organism: Oncorhynchus gorbuscha (pink salmon)
Lineage: Eukaryota; Metazoa; Chordata; Actinopteri; Salmoniformes; Salmonidae
Exons: 3
Source: RefSeq, a predicted model, not a curated record
AUGAAAUCCUGAGAGGAUAAAACAAUAGGUUAUUAAUGACAAAACAAUGCAGAUAUUUCAGAAAUGUGCUGCAUUCAUUUUCUUUGAACCGGUUUGUUAUAGAGGCUUUAUAGACCUAGAUUAUUUAUUUUUUUACAUUAAUGCACACAGGUAGUAGACCACUCUAACCAGUUCGCGCACUACGAUUUAGAAAGUGAGAAAGAAACACAAAAGAACAUUGUGUGGUUGUCUACGUGUCUCAAUUUUGUGUGCAAGCGUGCACGUGUGUGUGCACGUGGCGAGGUUGAAGGUGACUUUGGGAGUUAAUAGCUUUAACCAGAGGGUUGUGCGGUCUCUUUUUCCGUCUCCUUCCUCAAACUCGGGGUGAAUAUAUGAAGCCUGUGCAUGUCAAGUGCUAUUGCCGUCAAACGUGCUUGACUGCAGCGUACGAUCUGAAGAGAGGCUGUGCGGAGCGCCAAGGAAAAGUGGCCUGUCACCUGUGAUUUUGUCGAUGUGCUAAAGCAUGGCGGUAAUGAGGAGAUGAAGGCUGCAGAAGCGAUACUGAAGCGAUGAAGCACACACACUCACACAACAAGGUGAUGAAGUUUGGCAUCCUGGCUUGUGUGGAGAUCUCCCCUUCUACUUAACACUUUUUGAUGCAAGCAGGCAUGGUGUUGGUGGAAAUGGAGAUGAAGACAGUGGACAGAGCUAUUGAAAGCAAGCAGCAGGAGUUAAGUGGAACAAAUACAAUCCCUAUUUUUGUUUCUUCACAAACAGCAGAGCCAGCAGACUGUGGAUGGAGCCCCUGCAGAACAGAAGGAUUACUGUCAGUGUCUCACCUCUAAGGCAUAGCAUGCCCAAAUCCUUAGAGCAACUUUGGAGCAAAUUUAUUAAUGUGAUUUACAUAAAGUUAAACUUCCCACAUGCAGCCAAGGAGGGCAUUCUAAAAUAAGCUGUGGUGACAGAGCCAAUGUGUUAUGUGUGUCAGGCCCGGGGCAGGGGGGUCUCCCAGGGGAGCGCUGGCCUGGAAAUGACACAGAGUGAGGGAAGAGCCCAGAUGCAGGGGAAUCAGUCAUCUCAUCUGCUGGGGCGCCAAAAGGACAAAGAUGCAUUACCGGAGCUACGGACACAAACACAUGAUAUUUCAGACAUAUAGGUGUAAAGGUGAUUUUAGAGAGGGAUUAGGGAGAAGAGAUGAUGCAAGGGCACUUACAGUAUGCUUUCAGUACCAUGAACACUUUAUAUUUUCAGAGGCACUGUGGUAGCUAUAUUUUCCACAGCACUUAUUUACAGAAAGGAGCAUUAUCUAUGACCAUUUUCCAUCUGCUAUAUUGAGGAUUUCUUACAAACAAAUUGUCUUUCCAAGAUGUUUUAUGUAUAACUAGGUAAUAACAUGUCAAAUAUAACAACAAGGGGCCAAAGACAGCAAUGAAACUAAAAUUACUUAUAUAUAGUGAUAUAUUAUGAUGAAAUAGUCAUCCAUAGAGCUGUCAUGUCAUAGUUGGCUGAAAAUAGCCAUGUAUACCGCAAGUUCAAUAUUUUCUCCAACAUCUUGACAGAAUCGUGAUCUGAAACUAAACUGACACCUUUUUGAUAGAAUCUAUUUUGAGAAUCUAUGAUGGAAUCUCUGGAGAGCUGAAGUGAUAGAAGAGGAGGAACACAAUCCAGUGUCAAAUGGAACACGAGGUGAAGAAGAAUUUUUCCCUCCGGAGCCACACAGAAUUCCCUGGAACAUUUUAACAGGGCCAUGGCACGCAACAAGCCACAUUUGGACCUGUAAAAAGCAUGAUCUUAGCAAUCAGGCACAUGCAACAUGCCACAAAGAGAAAGAAAAGUGCCAUGGGUAUUAACAACACCACAGACCCCAUGUGCCCCAUGCAUGCCUCCACUGUUACCAACCACAACUGUGAAAUUACCAGAAUGCCUUUCCACGUAACUGUGAAAAGGUGAAAAAGCUAAAUUGUCAACACCUAGUUUUAACUCGAGACCCCAAAGACAACUGUUACCGAGUCAGAAAGCCAUCCGAGAAUGAGAGCAGGAAGGAAGGAUUCAUUUAACCGUGUCAGGAAUGUUUCAUCUUAAUUACCUCACUGCUAGCCAAGCAAAUCUGAUUGGCCGUUCCUGACAGGAAAUUCAUAGUGCGAUAUUAAUUACUUCUGCAGGAUCCAUUCUAUAUUUAAUAUGCAGGGUGCAUGCCAGUCAUUACCAGCCUGUGUUUCAGCCUGGCCUGCAUGUCAGCAGUAAUCAAAUCUAAACGUUAACAACAGCACGUUCACCAAUCAAUAGGGAGGGGGGGGGCAUUUACAGCACGAUAUUCAUUUAUUCUUUCAUGUGUGUUUGUCUCUCUACACCAUGUCGUAAACCCUGUUAACACAUCUCACAACCCUGUUCUUAUUCCCCCAAUAUGACCGUGUUUCUCUUUUGCAUCACGUUUAACAUAAGCCUACUUUGCCGUUUUAAAUAUUAUUCAGUCCACACACAUGUAAUAUUUUUUAUUCAUCCUUUAUCAAACAUCACUGCUGGUUAGGUUUGCAACAUUCUGGUGACUUUCUGGUUUUCCAGAAAUCCUGGUUGGAGGAUUCUGGAUUUCCUGCUUAUUCCCGCCUGAAUCUUCCAACGGGAUUUCUGGAAGAUUUGGUAAAGUUACUGGAAUUUUGCAACCCUUGUGCUGGUAUAUAACAGAUUAUUUCUACAUAUAAAUUUGACAUGGUUUCUUCUGUGAACUU